UGAUUGGUGCUUGCAUCAUGAUUUACAUUUGAGUGAGUGGCGAACUGGUGAGUAACACGUGGGAAACCUGCCCAGAAGCGGGGGAUAACACCUGGAAACAGAUGCUAAUACCGCAUAACAACUUGGACCGCAUGGUCCGAGCUUGAAAGAUGGCUUCGGCUAUCACUUUUGGAUGGUCCCGCGGCGUAUUAGCUAGAUGGUGGGGUAACGGCUCACCAUGGCAAUGAUACGUAGCCGACCUGAGAGGGUAAUCGGCCACAUUGGGACUGAGACACGGCCCAAACUCCUACGGGAGGCAGCAGUAGGGAAUCUUCCACAAUGGACGAAAGUCUGAUGGAGCAACGCCGCGUGAGUGAAGAAGGGUUUCGGCUCGUAAAACUCUGUUGUUAAAGAAGAACAUAUCUGAGAGUAACUGUUCAGGUAUUGACGGUAUUUAACCAGAAAGCCACGGCUAACUACGUGCCAGCAGCCGCGGUAAUACGUAGGUGGCAAGCGUUGUCCGGAUUUAUUGGGCGUAAAGCGAGCGCAGGCGGUUUUUUAAGUCUGAUGUGAAAGCCUUCGGCUCAACCGAAGAAGUGCAUCGGAAACUGGGAAACUUGAGUGCAGAAGAGGACAGUGGAACUCCAUGUGUAGCGGUGAAAUGCGUAGAUAUAUGGAAGAACACCAGUGGCGAAGGCGGCUGUCUGGUCUGUAACUGACGCUGAGGCUCGAAAGUAUGGGUAGCAAACAGGAUUAGAUACCCUGGUAGUCCAUACCGUAAACGAUGAAUGCUAAGUGUUGGAGGGUUUCCGCCCUUCAGUGCUGCAGCUAACGCAUUAAGCAUUCCGCCUGGGGAGUACGGCCGCAAGGCUGAAACUCAAAGGAAUUGACGGGGGCCCGCACAAGCGGUGGAGCAUGUGGUUUAAUUCGAAGCUACGCGAAGAACCUUACCAGGUCUUGACAUACUAUGCAAAUCUAAGAGAUUAGACGUUCCCUUCGGGGACAUGGAUACAGGUGGUGCAUGGUUGUCGUCAGCUCGUGUCGUGAGAUGUUGGGUUAAGUCCCGCAACGAGCGCAACCCUUAUUAUCAGUUGCCAGCAUUAAGUUGGGCACUCUGGUGAGACUGCCGGUGACAAACCGGAGGAAGGUGGGGAUGACGUCAAAUCAUCAUGCCCCUUAUGACCUGGGCUACACACGUGCUACAAUGGAUGGUACAACGAGUUGCGAACUCGCGAGAGUAAGCUAAUCUCUUAAAGCCAUUCUCAGUUCGGAUUGUAGGCUGCAACUCGCCUACAUGAAGUCGGAAUCGCUAGUAAUCGCGGAUCAGCAUGCCGCGGUGAAUACGUUCCCGGGCCUUGUACACACCGCCCGUCACACCAUGAGAGUUUGUAACACCCAAAGUCGG
This 1384-nucleotide ribosomal RNA is filed under the name Lactiplantibacillus plantarum. RNAcentral describes it as "bacterial SSU rRNA". It matches the Rfam family "Bacterial small subunit ribosomal RNA", at positions 70 to 1430 of the family's 1533-position model. Lineage: Bacteria; Bacillati; Bacillota; Bacilli; Lactobacillales; Lactobacillaceae. The record is from RNAcentral.